Molecule: ribosomal RNA, 224 nt
Filed under: uncultured bacterium
Lineage: Bacteria
Description: partial 16S ribosomal RNA
Rfam family: Bacterial small subunit ribosomal RNA
Source: RNAcentral
AGUAAUACAUCGGAACGUGUCUUCUAGUGGGGGAUAACUGCCCGAAAGGGCGAGCUAAUACCGCAUGAGACCUGAGGGUGAAAGCGGGGGAGUCGCAAGACCUCGCGCUGGAAGAGCGGCCGAUGUCCGAUUAGCUAGUUGGUGAGGUAAAGGCUCACCAAGGCGACGAUCGGUAGCUGGUCUGAGAGGACGACCAGCCACACUGGGACUGAGACACGGCCCAG